Molecule: long non-coding RNA, 2548 nt
Filed under: Triticum aestivum (bread wheat)
Lineage: Eukaryota; Viridiplantae; Streptophyta; Magnoliopsida; Poales; Poaceae
Description: long non-coding RNA (TAES_LNC027871)
Source: RNAcentral
UCGCAUUGGGUUGCAUCGCCUCGGCUAUCAUCAUGAGGAGUAAGUUUGCUCUGGAAGUUGCUAGUGUUCUGCUGAUGCAGUAUGCAAGACACUGUUAGAGAUGUCUGAAGAUUCUUGCCUGUGCUAGCCUGAUUAGCUUAAGUGUCAAAGUCAGUACUACCAUUGUUGAUGCACAUGGCUACCGUUCUGUUGGAGCCAUGGAAUUACGGACCACCAUGUUUGCAUUUCAUGCGAUUUCAUCAGCUGACAGCGGUGUUAUAUUGCACGGUUUUGGCUAAAAAUAUGUUUGUUGUGCUACAUUGCACGGUUUUGGUUAAAAAUGUGUGUUAUGACAUUGUCUUAUCCUUGAUCAGAUUUUUUUUCAUUUUUGCGUGGUUGAUCAGAUUGUCUUCAUGCUUUGUUUCUUCUUUUAAACAUGGGUAGGCACGGUGCCGAUUUCGUUCCAGCUCAUGUACAAAGUACAACAUGAAUUACAAAGCCUCAAACGGCACAUUACGAAGCAAUUGCAUAAUUGGUAAGGGUUUGAUCUAUGAGCUGAGCUAACACAUCUAAAAGCAGAUCUAGGAAGAACCCUGAUGAGCACAAUUUUGAGCCACCGCAUUGCUAUCUCUUGUAGUUUCAUUAGCUAGGCUGUGAUCUGAUGACAGCCAUGGUUUUGGCUGAAAAAUAUGGUUUCUUGUGACAAUGGUGUUAAAAUUGCACGGUUUUGGCUAAAGAAGGUUUGUCUUGAAAUUGUCUUAUCCUUGAUCAGAUUUUCUUCACGCUUCGUUUCUUUCUUAACACGGAAAAGGCACCACGCCAACUUCAUUACAGCUCAUGUACAGAGUACAUUAUGAAUUUACAAAGCCCUCAAGCAGUACAUCAUGAAGCAAUUGCAUAAUUGGACACAUCCAGAAGCAGGUUCUGAAGAUCUAGUAUGAACCUGAUGAGCGCAAUUGUGAGCCACCCCAUUGAUCUCUCUAGGAAUAUGAUAGACAGAAUGGCCAGGCUGCGAUGAUUUUUCUGCAAGAAAUUGCUGAGGGAUGACAUUCUGAGAUCCCUGCUGGCUGCAGCCCUGUCUAGUGUCAGGUUGUGAGUGAGAUAGGAACGUGACCUGCCUGUUGGAGCUGAAGCUUGAGUGCUUGAUCUGCAGCUAGUGGCAGAGCAAUGUGCGUCCUGGUGGAGAGAAGGGAUCUGGACUUCAUCCUCGACAGGAGCCCCGUGCUGGAGACGCUGUGCGUCCAGGGCAAUGUGCUCAAGCUUCGUGUCCGGCUCGUCAGCCAGAGCCUCCGGUGCGUGCAGAUCGUCGGGUCCUUCAUCGAAGAGAUCUUCGUGUUGGACGCCCCACGCCUUAGAGCGGUUCAUCCAUUCGGAGGCCUGGAAUCCUGCUGGCAACUGCACCACCACGGUGAAGAUCGGCCAUGCCCCCAAGCUGCACUUGUUGGGAUACUUGGCGUUGGACCCACGAAAGCAUGUCUUAGACGUCGGCAACACCAUCAUCAAGGUGCCUGGUUUCUCCAUUGGUUCAAUCCUAGACUACCAAUGCAAAUUUGUGUGAUCUUUCUUUUCUUAAUUGGGUGAGUUGUGAAUCUGUGAUUGAUUGCAACUGCAGGCUGGGACAGGGAUGAGCCCAAGCACCAUGCUACCAGUUGUGAAAAUCCUGGCUUUGAAGGUGCGUUUCGCAGUCCGCAAUGAUGUCAAGAUGAUCCCCAAUGUCCUCAGAUGCUUUCCAAAUGUUGAGACGCUCCACAUCAUGGUGAGACCCCUGACGCUUCUUUUGGCAUCCAUUUGCACCAUCUUGGACUAGCAUCAUGUUGCUAAUUUCUAUUUGGUAUCAAUAGCUCAUAGCUGAUGGACUGCACAUGCUUUUCUCUACCAAUUUUUCAGUCUGGAAAAACUGAUCAAUCCACUGGCAAGGCCAACCUGAAGUUCUCGCUCGAGUCUGGUACCAUAGAAUGCAUAGAGUCGCGCAUCAAGCUGCUGGUUUUCCAUGGUUUCCAAGGGGAUCGAAGCGAGCUCGGCUUCCUCAAGUUCUUCUUCGAGAGCGCCUUGGUGCUGGAGGAGGUGGUGGUUGGUUCUGUUGGCCGCUGAUCCGACAGAUGAGAUGAUACGCAAGGCGGUGUUUCUGAAGUACAUGGAACGGGCCAGUGAAGCCUCCAUACUGUCGGUCGGCCGUUCUGGUCCUCAAGGCUUCGCUCAGAGCGCCAGGAGAGGAUCUGAUUUCUCCCUCGGCGACCCUUUUGCCAACUAUUGCCGCAGCGACUUGUAUCGUAUGUCAUCACCCCGCCCCUUGUACCUGUGCUAGCCUGAUUAGCUUCAGCGUCGAAGUUGGCAGUGUCAUUGUUGCAGCCGUUGUUCUACUGGUUGGCAAUUACGGACCACCGUGUAUGUGUUUCAUGCGAUUCCGUUAGCUAGGCUGUGAUCUUGAUGACAGCCGUGUUGCAUUGCACGGCUUUGGCUAAAAAUAUGUUUAUUGCGAUUGUGACAAUGGUGUUGCAUUUGCACGGUUUUGGCUAAGAAAUGUUUGUUAUGACAUUAUCUUAUGUCCUUGAUCAGAUCCUCUUCUUCA